RNAcentral lists this ribosomal RNA (361 nucleotides) under uncultured bacterium. RNAcentral's name for it is "partial 16S ribosomal RNA". It matches the Rfam family "Bacterial small subunit ribosomal RNA", at positions 338 to 696 of the family's 1533-position model. The record is from RNAcentral.
CCUACGGGAGGCAGCAGUGGGGAAUAUUGGUCAAUGGACGAGAGUCUGAACCAGCCAAGUAGCGUGAAGGAUGACUGCCCUAUGGGUGGUAAACUUCUUUUAUAUGGGAGUAAGAUGUUCCACGUGAGUGAUUUUGUAUUUACCGUAUGAAUAAGGAUCGGCUAACUCCGCGCCAGCAGCCGCGGUAAUACGGAGGGUCCGAGCGUUAUCCGGAUUUAUUGGGUUUAAAGGGAGCGUAGGCGGAUUGUUAAGUCAGUUGUGAAAGUUUGCGGCUCAACCGUAAAAUUGCAGUUGAAACUGGUAGUCUUGAGUACAGUAGAGGUGGGUGGAAUUCGAGGUGUAGCGGUGAAAUGCUUAGAUA